This is a non-coding RNA of Dipodomys ordii (Ord's kangaroo rat), 65 nucleotides long. The record is from Rfam. NCBI's taxonomy places the organism in Eukaryota, Metazoa, Chordata, Mammalia, Rodentia, Heteromyidae.
GGUGGCUCAGUGGUAGAGCGCUUGCCUUGCAGGCCAGAGGCCCUGGGUUCGAUUCCUCAGCACCA